CCUACGGGUGGCAGCAGUGAGGAAUAUUGGUCAAUGGCCGGAAGGCUGAACCAGCCAAGCCGCGUGAGGGAGGAAGGCGCAGAGCGUCGCAGACCUCUUUUGCCGGGGGACAAAAGGCCGGACUCGUCCGGUCCUGAGGGUACCCGGAGAAAAAGCAUCGGCUAACUCCGUGCCAGCAGCCGCGGUAAUACGGAGGAUGCGAGCGUUAUCCGGAUUCAUUGGGUUUAAAGGGUGCGCAGGCGGGCCUUUAAGCCGGUGGUGAAAUCGCGGGGCUCAACCCGGGCCGGCCGUUGAAACUGGGGAUCUUGAGUGGGCGAGAAGUAUGCGGAAUGCGUGGUGUAGCGGUGAAAUGCAUAGAUAUCACGCAGAACUCCGAUUGCGAAGGCAGCAUACCGGCGCCCGACUGACGCUGAGGCACGAAAGCGUGGGGAUCGAACAGGAUUAGAUACCCUUGUAGUC
This 459-nucleotide ribosomal RNA is filed under the name uncultured bacterium. RNAcentral's name for it is "partial 16S ribosomal RNA". It matches the Rfam family "Bacterial small subunit ribosomal RNA", at positions 338 to 795 of the family's 1533-position model. The record is from RNAcentral.